RNAcentral lists this ribosomal RNA (497 nucleotides) under uncultured bacterium. Its description in RNAcentral is "partial 16S ribosomal RNA". It matches the Rfam family "Bacterial small subunit ribosomal RNA", at positions 28 to 507 of the family's 1533-position model. The record is from RNAcentral.
GAUGAACGCUGGCGGCGUGCCUAAUACAUGCCAGUCGAGCGAACGGACGAGAAUCUUGCUUCUCUGAUGUUAGCGGCGGACGGGUGAGUAACACGUGGAUAACCUACCUAUAAGACUGGGAUAACUUCGGGAAACCGUAGCUAAUACCGGAUAAUAUUUUGAACCGCAUGGUUCAAAAGUGAAAGACGGUCUUGCUGUCACUUAUAGAUGGAUCCGCGCUGCAUUAGCUAGUUGGUAAGGUAACGGCUUACCAAGGCAACGAUGCAUAGCCGACCUGAGAGGGUGAUCGGCCACACUGGAACUGAGACACGGUCCAGACUCCUACGGGAGGCAGCAGUAGGGAAUCUUCCGCAAUGGGCGAAAGCCUGACGGAGCAACGCCGCGUGAGUGAUGAAGGUCUUCGGAUCGUAAAACUCUGUUAUUAGGGAAGAACAUAUGUGUAAGUAACUGUGCACAUCUUGACGGUACCUAAUCAGAAAGCCACGGCUAACUACGUG